UACGUAGGGUGCGAGCGUUGAUCGGAAUUACUGGGCGUAAAGGGUGCGCAGGCGGUUUGAUAAGCCAGAUGUGAAAUCCCCGAGCUCAACUUGGGAACCGCGUUUGGAACUGUCAGACUAGAGGGCGUCAGAGGGGGGUGGAAUUCCCCGUGUAGCAGUGAAAUGCGUAGAGAUGCGGAGGAACACCGAUGGCGAAGGCAGCCCCCUGGGAUGACACUGACGCUCAUGCAAGAAAGCGUGGGGAGCAAACAGG
Molecule: ribosomal RNA, 253 nt
Filed under: uncultured bacterium
Lineage: Bacteria
Description: partial 16S ribosomal RNA
Rfam family: Bacterial small subunit ribosomal RNA
Source: RNAcentral